Molecule: ribosomal RNA, 461 nt
Filed under: uncultured bacterium
Lineage: Bacteria
Description: partial 16S ribosomal RNA
Rfam family: Bacterial small subunit ribosomal RNA
Source: RNAcentral
GACGAACGCUGGCGGCGUGCUUAACACAUGCAAGUCGAACGGUAAGGCCUUUCGGGGUACACGAGUGGCGAACGGGUGAGUAACACGUGGGUGAUCUGCCCUGCACUUCGGGAUAAGCCCGGGAAACUGGGUCUAAUACCGGAUAGGACUGCGCGGUGCAUGCCGUGUGGUGGAAAGAUUUAUCGGUGCAGGAUGGGCCCGCGGCCUAUCAGCUUGUUGGUGGGGUAAUGGCCUACCAAGGCGACGACGGGUAGCCGGCCUGAGAGGGCGACCGGCCACACUGGGACUGAGACACGGCCCAGACUCCUACGGGAGGCAGCAGUGGGGAAUAUUGCACAAUGGGCGCAAGCCUGAUGCAGCGACGCCGCGUGAGGGAUGACGGCCUUCGGGUUGUAAACCUCUUUCAGCAGGGACGAAGCGUGAGUGACGGUACCUGCAGAAGAAGCACCGGCCAACUACGU